Molecule: long non-coding RNA, 2471 nt
Filed under: Callithrix jacchus (white-tufted-ear marmoset)
Lineage: Eukaryota; Metazoa; Chordata; Mammalia; Primates; Cebidae
Description: lncRNA (ENSCJAG00000081829.1)
Source: RNAcentral
AUGCCUUUAAUCCCAGCACUUUGGGAGGCCAAAGCAGGCGAAUCACAAGGUCAGGAGUUUGAGACCAUCCUGGCCAACAUGGUGAAACUCCGGUCCCUACUAAAAAUACAAAAAAUUAGCUGGGCGUGGUGGUGCAUGCUUGUAGUCCCAGCUACUCCAGAGGCUGAGGCAGGGGAAUCCUUGAACCCAGGAGGCGGAGGUUGUGGUGAGCUGAAAUCAUGCCACUGCAGUCCAGCCUGGCGACAGAGCAAGACUCCAUCUCAAAAAAAAAAAAAAAAAGAAAAGGGAAAAAAAUGCCUCAAUCUAAGGAGCACGUCAAGGAACAGAUUCAAGGCGGACUUGGGGCGGUCCACCCUCACGAGGACCUGCAUAGAAAUGGGCAGCAGCUGGCGGCUCCCCCACCAGGGUGUGCUCUCUGGCUCUGCGGUGAGUUCCUGCUCCUGCCCAAGCUGGCACCAGCCUGAGCACCUGGAAGUUCUGGCAAGUGCCCGCCUCAGAGGUGAGUCUGCUGUGCAUCUCCUGGGGACAGGGCACCAAGGGUGGAAGAAGAGCCACAGUGUCGGUUCCCAGACCCACAGUGCACACCUGCCGCUGUCCUCCACCGUCUCCCGGGUUCACCGUCCUCCAGCCCCUCUCCUCCAUGUGGGGUACACAGGCAGAAAGACGCUCACAGGUUCCGCUCAAGCAGCGUGCAGGAACCCACCCCAUGUCACCACAAUGCUCCAGCCCCCUUCUGUCGUUUUUUGCGGCUGUUCCACUGCAGCAGGACCCCCGCAGCAUGGACCAAGGUGGUUCAUUUCCAUCCUUGCCUAUGUGGACGCGCACAGGUGUGUGCUGUCUGCCUUCUUCCACUUGGCGUUGCGCCCGUGAGGCUCCCCCUGCUGCGGUGUGCAGGUGCGGACCCUUCCUCUGUGUUGCUUCUGGUGUCUGGACGCAGGCGGCGUCUUUCUCCCUUCUCCUGGGAGGCGCGGCUGGGAGCAGAGCUGCCAUCUGCCAGCGCUCGGUCUUUGGGUGGACCCGCAGACGUGCUGCACAUUCAUCAGCUGUGUCUUUGUGUCUGUGAAUGUCAAGUGGACACGGCCACUUUUGGAAGAUUUUCCAAAGUGCUCAUCCCGGUUCCCCUCCCAGCAGCUGCACCCUCCCCCACUCCCCAGCCUAGGAUCUCACUGCCACCCGUCUGUUUCGUCCGUUUUACUUCGUCUUGUCAGGUGGGUGUGCAGGAGGACCUCGAGGGGGUUUUAACCGAGUGCCCUGAUGGCUGACGGAGCGGAGCAUCUUCCUGUCGACUGGCUGUGGGGCACUUUCCUUUGUGAGUGAAAUGCCUGCCCAACUCCUUUUCCAGCUCCUCUGUUUGAACUCAAGGUUCCACCGCCCAUGCCCUUUCCCUGCCCAGGCUGACACCACCUCUGUAAAGAGGGACUCAGCCCAUUUGUGUUCUGUCCACCUAGAGACUGCAAGAUGGAGCCUUGAACCCCUGAAGUCCAUGGGGCAGGGUGUGAAGGAGUGAUUCCAACUCAAGGCAAAUCAUGUUCGGGCAGUCAUCCCUUCACGGCCAGGCUGCCUUGGGAGGCCGUCUUUUAGCCCCUCCCCCACUCCACCUCCAUCCCUGCCUGGGCAGGCCCCUGGGGGUAAGGCUGUGUUUUCUGGGACCCCCAGCUGCUGGCCCAGUCCUGUGGUAGGAAUAGCACCACCAUGCGUUAAGAGGCCUGAAUCCUCCUCUCUGCUGUGGAGCCUGUGUUACUGUCUCCCUCUGUGCCUCAGUUUCUCCAUCUGCUUAGUGAGGGCAUGAAACUCAAAGGUCUUUGAUUUUAGUCUUCUAGCUGAGGUCAUUUCUCUCCAUGAAGGUUGCUUUGUAAACUUAUAAACAAAACAAAUACAUCAUAUAAAAUGUUAAAAUCAAGGGAAAGAAUUUCUCAGGGUCCAACCUGCUCAUCCUCAGACAACAAAUGCUGUCAUUCUGGGGUGUUUCUUUCCAGACUUGUUCUUGGAGUGACUUUUCUGAACAUAGUUACGCUCCUGUCACUCAGGCGCCUUUUCCUCUCACUUCCUCCGUGGACCUCGGCCCGAAGUAUUUCCCGUGGCCCUGCUCUGUCCUCAUUCACGUCUUUUUAAACGGUGAUGUAUGAAACCAGCGCUCAGCUGAUCACCCCCCGCUACUGGACGUGAAGAUGCUUUCCAAGUCUCACCAUGACAAACGGCACAGCAAGGGUGGACAGCCGACCCGGAUACGUCUUUCCUCCAUGGAUUUGGGAUUAUUUCCUUAGAAUACACUCCCAGAAUCAGAAUUCCUGGAGUGAGAUCCCUGAACUUCAGUGUGUGUGUGUGUGUGUGUGUGUGUGUGUGAUGUAAGUUUGUUGCAACCUUGUUAUCCUGAUUUAUGAAGUCAAUAGCUAAGCCUGGGAACUACCCUGCCAGCUCAGCCCCACUCCCGCCCCGUGCCAGCCAUUACUGCUUCAGAGCGUGUUCAUGCA